GAAGAGCUAGGAGAGACCAGCGGGCGGUAGCUGCGGCGAGUGGCCUCUCCGUGCGGCACAGAGGCAAGAAGCAGCCAUCCAUCCAGAAGCAGCCUCCGUGUUCCGUUUGUCCGGAUGUCAUCGUAGGUGGCCGGCAUCUCUGGCUUUGGGCUUCUCCCCUGGGGGCGGGUGGGUGCUCCACCCUCCCGCCCACUCUCUGAGGACAUGAGGAACAUGGUAUCCAGCACCACGGACAGCUCCCAGCGAUCCCAGAGGACUCAAGGCUAUGGGUGAUGUCGAAGGUGCGGAAGAAUCAAGUUGGAAAGACCAGCAGGAGACAGACAGAGUAAGGUUCCUUGAAUGCUUGGUUUAUGUGCCUGGCUGGAGGAGACACCCAUGGCCUUGCAGAGGGAGCGUUCUGGUGGGAAAGCAGACACAACCCACCCUAGGCCCGUGGUUUCCCUGCAAGAAGCCCAGUGGCUUUCUGGAGGACACUUUUCCUGGAGGAAGUGACUCAAGAGCAGCAUAAGCCAGGCUCUAUGGAAUGUUGGGUGAGCUGCUUGAGGAACUCCAAGGCCUGUCCCACAGUCUUCCAGCCUCCGACUCUCCGGCCCUCAGCGAGGAAGUCCCACUGGUUUUUUUGGUUGGUUUUUUUUUUUUUUUUUAAGGUUUUUUGGUUUUUUUUUUUUUUUCUCAUUCCUGUCUUGGGAGCUUUCCCCAACCAGGAGAGUGAAGAUGGGCGGAGCUGUCACACCAACUGUUAGCCUGCCUUGGCUGAGAGGAGAGGAGGCGAGGAGGGAGCGACCACCCAGCUUUAGUCGUUUUAAAACAGCUCCUGACCCUAGAAGAAGGGAAAUGGAGAUGAAGACCCAAUUGACUUGAGAGAGUGAUCUUUCAGCAGACUGAUCGAACACACAGGCUUCUCAGCCCACUCCCUCCAGUCAAGGUUAAGGCCUGGCAAAGGUGGAGGAAGAGAAGCUGAGGAGAAAAAGGCGAGGAGAGCCUAGGCACAGGAAGGUGACCGCUUCCCUCCCUCCCAGUGCUGAUUUCCUGUGGACCAGAUUCCAGCACAGUGGAGGGCCAGAGCUCAGGGAACAGACCCAGCAGCACAGCAAGUCUCCAAGGAAAGCUCUAGCAGUCUCCAGGGGCUGAAGGCAGGACUGGGGAAGCGGCUAGCCAGGCUGCAGAAGGCAAAUGCUCCCAGACGGCUGUCCAGCACGCAUCCGCCUUCCUAGCCAAGUUUCCUGGGCUCCUGCCACAGAUCUAAGCCUCAUCCUGACAUCCUGCCCUCUGUGCUCUGGGAUGGCCCAGGGGAGAUGCUUAGCCUUGGCUCCUUGUCUGCUGGUGGAGGGGACACACACCCUUUCUGGACCACAGACCAAAAAGAAGACCUGACGUCAUCCUGAGCACCCCCGCCAUGCAGAGUGUGUUCGCAGACUGCCAACGGGCUGGCUCCGGCCAGCAGAAGUGAACAGAGGUGGAGGUUCAGCCUGACAGCUUCUCCCCAAAGCCAUGGAGAGAAAACCUUACCACCCCCACCGCCCAGCUACUUCCAGCAAGUUGUCCAGCCUGACCCCUCUAUUUCCCCUGUUGUCUCUUAUCUGGGUCCCUGAGACCCACCCCAUCUCCAAUAAAGAACAUUGCAUACUGUG
This 1631-nucleotide long non-coding RNA is filed under the name Mus musculus (house mouse). RNAcentral describes it as "predicted gene 3764". The record is from RNAcentral. Lineage: Eukaryota; Metazoa; Chordata; Mammalia; Rodentia; Muridae.